RNAcentral lists this unclassified non-coding RNA (132 nucleotides) under uncultured fungus. RNAcentral describes it as "sequence contains ITS2, 28S rRNA gene". The stretch from base 76 to 132 matches the Rfam family "Eukaryotic large subunit ribosomal RNA", at positions 1 to 57 of the family's 3401-position model. The record is from RNAcentral. Lineage: Eukaryota; Fungi.
CGACUCAUUGACAAUUGAUGGUGUUCCGGUCACCACCUCUCUAUGGGGUGGUUGGCUUGACCCACAACAUGACCUUGACCUCAAAUCGGGUGAGACUACCCGCUGAACUUAAGCAUAUCAAUAAGCGGAGGA